Molecule: ribosomal RNA, 406 nt
Filed under: uncultured bacterium
Lineage: Bacteria
Description: bacterial SSU rRNA
Rfam family: Bacterial small subunit ribosomal RNA
Source: RNAcentral
GAGGAAUAUUGCACAAUGGGCGCAAGCCUGAUGCAGCAACGCCGCGUGAGGGACGACGGCCUUCGGGUUGUAAACCUCUUUUGGCAGGGAAGAAGCGAAAGUGACGGUACCUGCAGAAAAAGCACCGGCUAACUACGUGCCAGCAGCCGCGGUGAUACGUAGGGUGCAAGCGUUGUCCGGAAUUAUUGGGCGUAAAGAGCUCGUAGGCGGUUUGUCGCGUCUGCUGUGAAAACCCGAGGCUCAACCUCGGGCCUGCAGUGGGUACGGGCAAACUAGAGUGCGGUAGGGNAGAUUGGAAUUCCGGGUGUAGCGGUGGAAUGCGCAGAUAUCAGGAGGAACACCGAUGGCGAAGGCAGAUCUCUGGGCCGUAACUGACGCUGAGGAGCGAAAGCAUGGGGAGCGAACA